GAUGAACGCUGGCGGCGUGCCUAAUACAUGCAAGUCGAGCGAACGGACGAGAAGCUUGCUUCUCUGAUGUUAGCGGCGGACGGGUGAGUAACACGUGGAUAACCUACCUAUAAGACUGGGAUAACUUCGGGAAACCGGAGCUAAUACCGGAUAAUAUUUUGAACCGCAUGGUUCAAAAGUGAAAGACGGUCUUGCUGUCACUUAUAGAUGGAUCCGCGCUGCAUUAGCUAGUUGGUAAGGUAACGGCUUACCAAGGCAACGAUGCAUAGCCGACCUGAGAGGGUGAUCGGCCACACUGGAACUGAGACACGGUCCAGACUCCUACGGGAGGCAGCAGUAGGGAAUCUUCCGCAAUGGGCGAAAGCCUGACGGAGCAACGCCGCGUGAGUGAUGAAGGUCUUCGGAUCGUAAAACUCUGUUAUUAGGGAAGACCAUAUGUGUAAGUAACUGUGCACAUCUUGACGGUACCUAAUCAGAAAGCAACGGCUAACUACGUG
Molecule: ribosomal RNA, 497 nt
Filed under: uncultured bacterium
Lineage: Bacteria
Description: partial 16S ribosomal RNA
Rfam family: Bacterial small subunit ribosomal RNA
Source: RNAcentral